RNAcentral lists this ribosomal RNA (1540 nucleotides) under Klebsiella pneumoniae. Its description in RNAcentral is "bacterial SSU rRNA". It matches the Rfam family "Bacterial small subunit ribosomal RNA". The record is from RNAcentral. Lineage: Bacteria; Pseudomonadati; Pseudomonadota; Gammaproteobacteria; Enterobacterales; Enterobacteriaceae.
AAAUUGAAGAGUUUGAUCAUGGCUCAGAUUGAACGCUGGCGGCAGGCCUAACACAUGCAAGUCGAGCGGUAGCACAGAGAGCUUGCUCUCGGGUGACGAGCGGCGGACGGGUGAGUAAUGUCUGGGAAACUGCCUGAUGGAGGGGGAUAACUACUGGAAACGGUAGCUAAUACCGCAUAAUGUCGCAAGACCAAAGUGGGGGACCUUCGGGCCUCAUGCCAUCAGAUGUGCCCAGAUGGGAUUAGCUAGUAGGUGGGGUAACGGCUCACCUAGGCGACGAUCCCUAGCUGGUCUGAGAGGAUGACCAGCCACACUGGAACUGAGACACGGUCCAGACUCCUACGGGAGGCAGCAGUGGGGAAUAUUGCACAAUGGGCGCAAGCCUGAUGCAGCCAUGCCGCGUGUGUGAAGAAGGCCUUCGGGUUGUAAAGCACUUUCAGCGGGGAGGAAGGCGGUGAGGUUAAUAACCUCAUCGAUUGACGUUACCCGCAGAAGAAGCACCGGCUAACUCCGUGCCAGCAGCCGCGGUAAUACGGAGGGUGCAAGCGUUAAUCGGAAUUACUGGGCGUAAAGCGCACGCAGGCGGUCUGUCAAGUCGGAUGUGAAAUCCCCGGGCUCAACCUGGGAACUGCAUUCGAAACUGGCAGGCUAGAGUCUUGUAGAGGGGGGUAGAAUUCCAGGUGUAGCGGUGAAAUGCGUAGAGAUCUGGAGGAAUACCGGUGGCGAAGGCGGCCCCCUGGACAAAGACUGACGCUCAGGUGCGAAAGCGUGGGGAGCAAACAGGAUUAGAUACCCUGGUAGUCCACGCCGUAAACGAUGUCGAUUUGGAGGUUGUGCCCUUGAGGCGUGGCUUCCGGAGCUAACGCGUUAAAUCGACCGCCUGGGGAGUACGGCCGCAAGGUUAAAACUCAAAUGAAUUGACGGGGGCCCGCACAAGCGGUGGAGCAUGUGGUUUAAUUCGAUGCAACGCGAAGAACCUUACCUGGUCUUGACAUCCACAGAACUUUCCAGAGAUGGAUUGGUGCCUUCGGGAACUGUGAGACAGGUGCUGCAUGGCUGUCGUCAGCUCGUGUUGUGAAAUGUUGGGUUAAGUCCCGCAACGAGCGCAACCCUUAUCCUUUGUUGCCAGCGGUUAGGCCGGGAACUCAAAGGAGACUGCCAGUGAUAAACUGGAGGAAGGUGGGGAUGACGUCAAGUCAUCAUGGCCCUUACGACCAGGGCUACACACGUGCUACAAUGGCAUAUACAAAGAGAAGCGACCUCGCGAGAGCAAGCGGACCUCAUAAAGUAUGUCGUAGUCCGGAUUGGAGUCUGCAACUCGACUCCAUGAAGUCGGAAUCGCUAGUAAUCGUAGAUCAGAAUGCUACGGUGAAUACGUUCCCGGGCCUUGUACACACCGCCCGUCACACCAUGGGAGUGGGUUGCAAAAGAAGUAGGUAGCUUAACCUUAGGGAGGGCGCUUACCACUUUGUGAUUCAUGACUGGGGUGAAGUCGUAACAAGGUAACCGUAGGGGAACCUGCGGUUGGAUCACCUCCUUA